Molecule: long non-coding RNA, 228 nt
Organism: Penaeus monodon (black tiger shrimp)
Lineage: Eukaryota; Metazoa; Arthropoda; Malacostraca; Decapoda; Penaeidae
Exons: 3
Source: RefSeq, a predicted model, not a curated record
UUUCCAGAUGCAACACCUGCUGAGAAGGAGAACUCUCUCUGUUUUCGCUCGGGGGAAGUCUGCGGCGCAGCUUCAUGAUGAUGGUGCCGAGACUCGUCCACCGUUUUCGUCAGCUGUUAAUCAUUCUUCUCCUCCUUCUGGGGAUCACGACCUGGCGGAACACCAGUUCCGAAGUCACGCAAGAACAGGGUAGGGAUCUCAGUCUCCGAAAAUCGACCAAUUUUACAA